This 482-nucleotide ribosomal RNA is filed under the name uncultured bacterium. RNAcentral's name for it is "partial 16S ribosomal RNA". It matches the Rfam family "Bacterial small subunit ribosomal RNA", at positions 29 to 507 of the family's 1533-position model. The record is from RNAcentral.
AUUGAACGCUGGCGGCAUGCCUUACACAUGCAAGUCGAACGGUAACGCGGGGCAACCUGGCGACGAGUGGCGAACGGGUGAGUAAUGCAUCGGAACGUGCCCAGAAGUGGGGGAUAGCCCGGCGAAAGCCGGAUUAAUACCGCAUGAGACCUGAGGGUGAAAGCGGGGGAUCGCAAGACCUCGCGCUUUUGGAGCGGCCGAUGUCAGAUUAGCUAGUUGGUGGGGUAAAGGCCUACCAAGGCGACGAUCUGUAGCUGGUCUGAGAGGACGACCAGCCACACUGGGACUGAGACACGGCCCAGACUCCUACGGGAGGCAGCAGUGGGGAAUUUUGGACAAUGGGCGCAAGCCUGGUCCAGCCAUGCCGCGUGCGGGAAGAAGGCCUUCGGGUUGUAAACCGCUUUUGUCAGGGAAGAAACGCUCUGGGCUAAUACCCUGGGGUAAUGACGGUACCUGAAGAAUAAGCACCGGCUAACUACGUG